RNAcentral lists this non-coding RNA (165 nucleotides) under uncultured Catenibacillus sp. RNAcentral's name for it is "Lysine riboswitch". It matches the Rfam family "Lysine riboswitch aptamer". From Rfam's summary of the family: Riboswitches are metabolite binding domains within certain messenger RNAs that serve as precision sensors for their corresponding targets. Allosteric rearrangement of mRNA structure is mediated by ligand binding, and this results in modulation of gene expression. Lineage: Bacteria; Bacillati; Bacillota; Clostridia; Lachnospirales; Lachnospiraceae. The record is from RNAcentral.
AAAUGUAGAGGCGCAUUUUGCAUGAGUAGUGCUGGGGAUAUGGCAGGCAUAGACGAAACAGUACGAAAGGGUACGAUGCCGAAGAGGUGUAUAUUCCUGCGGAUACACUUCUGGGCAUAUGGUUAAGAGCCAUAUGACUGUCAUCGUAAGAUGGAGUGCUGCUUU